AGGUAUCGAGCUGAUACAUAAAAACGUGUUACAUAUUACAUACUUAGAAUUUCUAAGACACAAGGAUUUCAUUUCAUUUAUCACACCAUAAAUUUUACAACCUAUCUUUUACAAUUAUCACACAAGUUCCUAGCCCACAAUUCUAAAACACCAUCUGCUAACACAAAGAAAGACAAAAAAAGAAAAAAAAAAAAGGGAUAGGAGGCGUGUGUGUGUGAAGCUGCUACAGCUACAGCCGCAUCCCCCCUCCAAUCCCCUUCUCCCUACACCCUACCUCCUCCUUAGCACACUCAUUCCCCCAAUCCCCUUCACUCUACCUCCUUAGCACACUCAUUCCCCCAAUCCCCUUCACUCUGCCUCUGUAUCUAUUCUCUAGCACACUCAAAUUUGCACCCAACAUUCCUCCGUUUAGCCUCAAACUUCAUCCAGCAAAUCACUUUCAUUCUCUUGCAUUCCACAAAUAGAAUCCACCGAAGAGUAAGGAGAAGCUGUAUUCAUUGUUCUGCCAAAACUCAAGGGGAAUCGAUAGAUGAAGCAGAGUCAGAUUUGGCUUAGCUUUUAGAAGGGGUAGGCCUACUGCCUUGCUGCCCCAUCGGACUCCGAAAACAGCAGUUUCAACGGUGUCGAGCGGUGAAGGGCGGACGACUCCCAACCCCAGCUAUGGCCCCUCGUCGAUUCUGGAGUAGCGGCAGCGGCUCGGUGCGCGGCAGCGGUGGAGUUUCAGGCGGAGCGACACCGGCUUGAGGUGACAAUGUCGCCGGAGAUUUCUGGGGCGGCGGCGGCAAUUUCUAAUUUGGGAGAGGAGAGUGGCGGGUCUGUUUCGGAGAGAAGAAUAGAGAGGUUGAGGGAAACGAGGUGGUGGCUGGAGACGACUUCUGGCGAAGUAGCAGCCGCGGCAGCCGGAGAUUCGAGAAGAGGGGCGUAUUGGCAUGAAUCGAGAGACAAAGACAGAGAGAGAUAGCUGCAGUGCGUGAGUAGAGACUAGAGAGAGUGAGAGAGAGGGACAAGUUUGAGGGGGGGAUUUGGGCCUCCUCAUUUAUUUUACUUGGGCCAUUUUAAUUUUAAUUUUCCCUUGGGCUGCCUAAUUGUUUCAUUGGGCCCAGAAUUAUUUAUUUAGCAGUUGGACCAUCUGCAUUGGGCUCAAACUUAAUUAUUUUACUUGGGCCUUCACCCAGCCAGAUUAUUUUGCAAA
Long non-coding RNA from Salvia miltiorrhiza (redroot sage), 1192 nucleotides. RefSeq lists it as uncharacterized. NCBI's taxonomy places the organism in Eukaryota, Viridiplantae, Streptophyta, Magnoliopsida, Lamiales, Lamiaceae. The transcript has 2 exons. The record is from RefSeq and is a predicted model, not a curated record.